GACGGAGGGUGCAAGCGUUUGUUCGGAUUGACUGGGCGUAAAGGGCGUGUAGGCGGUUGCCCAAGUCCGAUGUGAAAGCCCGAGGCUUAGCCUCGGAAGUGCAUCGGAAACUAGGCAGCUGGAGCGCGAUAGAGGAGGGUAGAAUUCCUGGUGUAGCGGUGAAAUGCGUAGAUAUCAGGAGGAAUACCGGCGGCGAAGGCGGCCCUCUGGAUCGUUGCUGACGCUGAGACGCGAAAGCGUGGGGAGCAAACAGG
This 254-nucleotide ribosomal RNA is filed under the name uncultured bacterium. Its description in RNAcentral is "partial 16S ribosomal RNA". It matches the Rfam family "Bacterial small subunit ribosomal RNA", at positions 524 to 776 of the family's 1533-position model. The record is from RNAcentral.